ACUAAGCGUACACGGUGGAUGCCCUGGCAGUCAGAGGCGAUGAAGGACGUGCUAAUCUGCGAUAAGCGUCGGUAAGGUGAUAUGAACCGUUAUAACCGGCGAUUUCCGAAUGGGGAAACCCAGUGUGAUUCGUCACACUAUCAUUAACUGAAUCCAUAGGUUAAUGAGGCGAACCGGGGGAACUGAAACAUCUAAGUACCCCGAGGAAAAGAAAUCAACCGAGAUUCCCCCAGUAGCGGCGAGCGAACGGGGAGCAGCCCAGAGCCUGAAUCAGUGUGUGUGUUAGUGGAAGCGUCUGGAAAGGCGCGCGAUACAGGGUGACAGCCCCGUACACAAAAAUGCACAUACUGUGAGCUCGAUGAGUAGGGCGGGACACGUGGUAUCCUGUCUGAAUAUGGGGGGACCAUCCUCCAAGGCUAAAUACUCCUGACUGACCGAUAGUGAACCAGUACCGUGAGGGAAAGGCGAAAAGAACCCCGGCGAGGGGAGUGAAAAAGAACCUGAAACCGUGUACGUACAAGCAGUGGGAGCACAGAGCAAUCUGUGUGACUGCGUACCUUUUGUAUAAUGGGUCAGCGACUUAUAUUCUGUAGCAAGGUUAACCGAAUAGGGGAGCCGAAGGGAAACCGAGUCUUAACUGGGCGUUAAGUUGCAGGGUAUAGACCCGAAACCCGGUGAUCUAGCCAUGGGCAGGUUGAAGGUUGGGUAACACUAACUGGAGGACCGAACCGACUAAUGUUGAAAAAUUAGCGGAUGACUUGUGGCUGGGGGUGAAAGGCCAAUCAAACCGGGAGAUAGCUGGUUCUCCCCGAAAGCUAUUUAGGUAGCGCCUCGUGAAUUCAUCUCCGGGGGUAGAGCACUGUUUCGGCAAGGGGGUCAUCCCGACUUACCAACCCGAUGCAAACUGCGAAUACCGGAGAAUGUUAUCACGGGAGACACACGGCGGGUGCUAACGUCCGUCGUGAAGAGGGAAACAACCCAGACCGCCAGCUAAGGUCCCAAAGUCAUGGUUAAGUGGGAAACGAUGUGGGAAGGCCCAGACAGCCAGGAUGUUGGCUUAGAAGCAGCCAUCAUUUAAAGAAAGCGUAAUAGCUCACUGGUCGAGUCGGCCUGCGCGGAAGAUGUAACGGGGCUAAACCAUGCACCGAAGCUGCGGCAGCGACGCUGAUGCGUUGUUGGGUAGGGGAGCGUUCUGUAAGCCUGUGAAGGUGUACUGUGAGGUAUGCUGGAGGUAUCAGAAGUGCGAAUGCUGACAUAAGUAACGAUAAAGCGGGUGAAAAGCCCGCUCGCCGGAAGACCAAGGGUUCCUGUCCAACGUUAAUCGGGGCAGGGUGAGUCGACCCCUAAGGCGAGGCCGAAAGGCGUAGUCGAUGGGAAACAGGUUAAUAUUCCUGUACUUGGUGUUACUGCGAAGGGGGGACGGAGAAGGCUAUGUUGGCCGGGCGACGGUUGUCCCGGUUUAAGCGUGUAGGCUGGUUUUCCAGGCAAAUCCGGAAAAUCAAGGCUGAGGCGUGAUGACGAGGCACUACGGUGCUGAAGCAACAAAUGCCCUGCUUCCAGGAAAAGCCUCUAAGCAUCAGGUAACAUCAAAUCGUACCCCAAACCGACACAGGUGGUCAGGUAGAGAAUACCAAGGCGCUUGAGAGAACUCGGGUGAAGGAACUAGGCAAAAUGGUGCCGUAACUUCGGGAGAAGGCACGCUGAUAUGUAGGUGAAGCGACUUGCUCGUGGAGCUGAAAUCAGUCGAAGAUACCAGCUGGCUGCAACUGUUUAUUAAAAACACAGCACUGUGCAAACACGAAAGUGGACGUAUACGGUGUGACGCCUGCCCGGUGCCGGAAGGUUAAUUGAUGGGGUUAGCGCAAGCGAAGCUCUUGAUCGAAGCCCCGGUAAACGGCGGCCGUAACUAUAACGGUCCUAAGGUAGCGAAAUUCCUUGUCGGGUAAGUUCCGACCUGCACGAAUGGCGUAAUGAUGGCCAGGCUGUCUCCACCCGAGACUCAGUGAAAUUGAACUCGCUGUGAAGAUGCAGUGUACCCGCGGCAAGACGGAAAGACCCCGUGAACCUUUACUAUAGCUUGACACUGAACAUUGAGCCUUGAUGUGUAGGAUAGGUGGGAGGCUUUGAAGUGUGGACGCCAGUCUGCAUGGAGCCGACCUUGAAAUACCACCCUUUAAUGUUUGAUGUUCUAACGUUGACCCGUAAUCCGGGUUGCGGACAGUGUCUGGUGGGUAGUUUGACUGGGGCGGUCUCCUCCUAAAGAGUAACGGAGGAGCACGAAGGUUGGCUAAUCCUGGUCGGACAUCAGGAGGUUAGUGCAAUGGCAUAAGCCAGCUUGACUGCGAGCGUGACGGCGCGAGCAGGUGCGAAAGCAGGUCAUAGUGAUCCGGUGGUUCUGAAUGGAAGGGCCAUCGCUCAACGGAUAAAAGGUACUCCGGGGAUAACAGGCUGAUACCGCCCAAGAGUUCAUAUCGACGGCGGUGUUUGGCACCUCGAUGUCGGCUCAUCACAUCCUGGGGCUGAAGUAGGUCCCAAGGGUAUGGCUGUUCGCCAUUUAAAGUGGUACGCGAGCUGGGUUUAGAACGUCGUGAGACAGUUCGGUCCCUAUCUGCCGUGGGCGCUGGAGAACUGAGGGGGGCUGCUCCUAGUACGAGAGGACCGGAGUGGACGCAUCACUGGUGUUCGGGUUGUCAUGCCAAUGGCACUGCCCGGUAGCUAAAUGCGGAAGAGAUAAGUGCUGAAAGCAUCUAAGCACGAAACUUGCCCCGAGAUGAGUUCUCCCUGACUCCUUGAGAGUCCUGAAGGAACGUUGAAGACGACGACGUUGAUAGGCCGGAUGUGUAAGCGCAGCGAUGCGUUGAGCUAACCGGUACUAAUGAACCGUGAGGCUUAACC
Molecule: ribosomal RNA, 2895 nt
Filed under: Escherichia coli
Lineage: Bacteria; Pseudomonadati; Pseudomonadota; Gammaproteobacteria; Enterobacterales; Enterobacteriaceae
Description: bacterial LSU rRNA
Rfam family: Bacterial large subunit ribosomal RNA
Source: RNAcentral